RNAcentral lists this ribosomal RNA (367 nucleotides) under uncultured soil bacterium. RNAcentral describes it as "bacterial SSU rRNA". It matches the Rfam family "Bacterial small subunit ribosomal RNA", at positions 26 to 394 of the family's 1533-position model. The record is from RNAcentral.
AGAUUGAACGCUGGCGGCAGGCCUAACACAUGCAAGUCGAGCGGUAGAGAGGUGCUUGCACCUCUUGAGAGCGGCGGACGGGUGAGUAAUGCCUAGGAAUCUGCCUAGUGGUGGGGGAUAACGUUCGGAAACGGACGCUAAUACCGCAUACGUCCUACGGGAGAAAGCGGGGGACCUUCGGGCCUCGCGCCAUUAGAUGAGCCUAGGUCGGAUUAGCUAGUUGGUGAGGUAAUGGCUCACCAAGGCGACGAUCCGUAACUGGUCUGAGAGGAUGAUCAGUCGCACUGGAACUGAGACACGGUCCAGACUCCUACGGGAGCAGCAGUGGGGGAAUAUUGGACAAUGGGCGAAAGCCUAGAUCCAGCCA